GGACGAACGCUGGCGGCGUGCCUAACACAUGCAAGUCGAGCGAGGAGAUUCCUCGGGAUGAUCCUAGCGGCGGACGGGUGAGUAACACGUGGGCAACCUGCCUCAUAGAGAGGAAUAGCCUUCCGAAAGGGAGAUUAAUACCUCAUAACAUUGCAGUUUCGCAUGGAACAGCAAUUAAAGGAGCAAUCCGCUAUGAGAUGGGCCCGCGGCGCAUUAGCUAGUUGGUGAGGUAACGGCUCACCAAGGCGACGAUGCGUAGCCGACCUGAGAGGGUGAUCGGCCACAUUGGGACUGAGACACGGCCCAGACUCCUACGGGAGGCAGCAGUGGGGAAUAUUGCACAAUGGGGGAAACCCUGAUGCCAGCAACGCCGCGUGAGUGAUGACGGCCUUCGGGUUGUAAAGCUCUGUCUUCAGGGACGAUAAUGACGGUACCUGAGGAGGAAGCCACGGCUAACUACGUGCCAGCCGCCGC
RNAcentral lists this ribosomal RNA (474 nucleotides) under uncultured bacterium. Its description in RNAcentral is "bacterial SSU rRNA". It matches the Rfam family "Bacterial small subunit ribosomal RNA", at positions 27 to 518 of the family's 1533-position model. The record is from RNAcentral.